RNAcentral lists this ribosomal RNA (492 nucleotides) under uncultured bacterium. RNAcentral's name for it is "partial 16S ribosomal RNA". It matches the Rfam family "Bacterial small subunit ribosomal RNA", at positions 29 to 507 of the family's 1533-position model. The record is from RNAcentral.
AGUGAACGCUGGCGGUAGGCCUAACACAUGCAAGUCGACCGGCAGCACAGUAAGAGCUUGCUCUUACGGGUGGCGAGUGGCGGACGGGUGAGGAAUACAUCGGAAUCUACUUUUUCGUGGGGGAUAACGUAGGGAAACUUACGCUAAUACCGCAUACGACCUACGGGUGAAAGCAGGGGAUCUUCGGACCUUGCGCGAUUGAAUGAGCCGAUGUCGGAUUAGCUAGUUGGCGUGGUAAAGGCCCACCAAGGCGACGAUCCGUAGCUGGUCUGAGAGGAUGAUCAGCCACACUGGAACAGAGACACGGUCCAGACUCCUACGGGAGGCAGCAGUGGGGAAGAUUGGACAAUGGGCGAAAGCCUGAUCCAGCCGUACCGCGUGGGUGAAGAAGGCCUUCGGGUUGUAAAGCCCUUUUGUUGGGAAAGAAAAGCAGCAGGUUAAUACCCCGCUGUUCUGACGGUACCCAAAGAAUAAGCACCGGCUAACUUCGUG